GAUGAACGCUGACAGAAUGCUUAACACAUGCAAGUCAACUUGAACUUCGGUUUGGGUGGCGGACGGGUGAGUAACGCGUAAAGAACUUGCCUCACAGCUAGGGACAACAUUUGGAAACGAAUGCUAAUACCUGAUAUUAUUAUUUUAUGGCAUCAUAGGGUAAUGAAAGCUAUAAGCGCUGCGAGAGAGCUUUGCGUCCCAUUAGCUAGUUGGAGAGGUAACGGCUCACCAAGGCGAUGAUGGGUAGCCGACCUGAGAGGGUGAACGGCCACAAGGGGACUGAGACACGGCCCUU
RNAcentral lists this ribosomal RNA (295 nucleotides) under uncultured bacterium. Its description in RNAcentral is "partial 16S ribosomal RNA". It matches the Rfam family "Bacterial small subunit ribosomal RNA", at positions 28 to 334 of the family's 1533-position model. The record is from RNAcentral.